UACGGGGCGCAGCAGGCGGGAAAACUUUACAAUGCAGGCAACAGCGAUAGGGGAACAUCGAGUGACAGCCUCAUAAGUUGGCUGUCCCGUCGCGUAAAAAACCCGUGUUAGCAAGGGCCGGGCAAGACCGGUGCCAGCCGCCGCGGUAACACCGGCGGCUCGAGUGGUGGCCGAUAUUAUUGGGUCUAAAGGGUUCGUAGCCGGUUUGGUAAGUCCUCCGGGAAAUCCAGGGGUUAAACGGUAGGUCUUUCGGGGAUAAU
RNAcentral lists this ribosomal RNA (260 nucleotides) under uncultured archaeon. RNAcentral's name for it is "partial 16S ribosomal RNA". It matches the Rfam family "Archaeal small subunit ribosomal RNA", at positions 324 to 585 of the family's 1478-position model. The record is from RNAcentral.